This 253-nucleotide ribosomal RNA is filed under the name uncultured bacterium. Its description in RNAcentral is "partial 16S ribosomal RNA". It matches the Rfam family "Bacterial small subunit ribosomal RNA", at positions 524 to 776 of the family's 1533-position model. The record is from RNAcentral.
UACGUAGGGCGCAAGCGUUGUCCGGAAUUAUUGGGCGUAAAGAGCUCGUAGGCGGUUUGUCGCGUCUGUCGUGAAAGCUUGGGGCUUAACCCCAAGUCUGCGGUGGAUACGGGCAGACUAGAGGCAGGUAGGGGAGAACGGAAUUCCCGGUGUAGCGGUGAAAUGCGCAGGUAUCGGGAGGAACACCGGUGGCGAAGGCGGUUCUCUGGGCCUGUACUGACGCUGAGGAGCGAAAGCGUGGGGAGCGAACAGG